This 12500-nucleotide long non-coding RNA is filed under the name Capsicum annuum. RNAcentral describes it as "long non-coding RNA (CANN_LNC006690)". The record is from RNAcentral. Lineage: Eukaryota; Viridiplantae; Streptophyta; Magnoliopsida; Solanales; Solanaceae.
CUUCUGCUGCCUAAGGUUGAUGACGAUAGUGAUGUCUAUCAGGAUCUUGACGAUGUUUCAUGAAGGUCUUCACAAAACUUCUUGCAAAUUCUCUCUUCUGUUUAAUUUUGAUGGUAUCCUUGACAGCCUAUCACCAGGCUAACGUUGUGUCAUGGAUGUCGUUAGCCACACUUAGCUCUUCAUUUGCUUCCAAUUUCAUACUUUUUGCUUCCUUUCUUUGUCGUUCUCUUUUGUCUCUAAUUUUACUAUAAAACCAAAGUAAACUAAUCAAAAACGACUAAAGUUCCUCAAGACUUUGCAAUUAUUUAGAGUUAAAAGCUUCAAAUAUGUUAGCAUGGGCUCACACAUCAAUAGCUAACUGUGAAGGUGUGAUUCCAAUAAAUGGACAUGAGAAAAUCAUAUUUGUCAACAUAAAAAUUGGUCAUGGAGAUCAUAUAUGAUACUUAUGGGUUACAUAGGAAUCCUCUAAGUUACACUUGUAUAUAUAUCAUGGAGAGCGAAGGGUACACCUGAAUCCUCUACUCCUAUGGUAUCUUUGGUUUUUGGAAAUUCACAUAUCAGGGCCUAUUUUAGGGGUAACACUAGACCCGUAUAUCGUAUGGGUGGUUCUAGGAUGAUUAAGCUAUAUAUAUCCAAGUUAAAAGAUUUUAAGGCAUGUCAUUCCCGAUUACCUUCCUAAUAUGGAUAUAUAUAUAUAUGUGUAUAUGUUUUGUUAUGAAUGAAUAUUGUUAUUUACUUUGUUUUAAAGGUUAGUAUUAUUUUAUUCUUAUCCUGAGUGCAUGUUAGCAUUCACUCACUAAACCGUCUUAGGGCAAUAUAUCCCUACAUGACGUAAGAACCAACCAUUUUACUCUACCUACUCAGUGAUUUGAUUUGUGAUCUAUUAUUUGAUUAAUGCUGUGAUAUUACAUAUCCUAAAGUCUCCAUUUCAUAUUAUGAAUUUCUUUAUAUACUCUGGUUUUUUGAUAACAUUAGGUUUGACUAUGGUUUGGGGUAUGCUCAAACUGAAUAUUAUUUUACUUUCUAUUAGAGUCUUUGUUGAACUACUAUGGGUUGGUAUAGGUAGUGUCGGUAUUGGUAUAAGUCUUAGUAUUUACAUUGGUAUUGUGGAUGACACCAUCCGACUGUAUUUAUAAUUAUUCUAUCCAAUUAUGUUAUGAAUUCGUACAUGAUUAUUAUUUUUAUUUUGGUAUAGUUAUUAGUUGGGUAUUGGAUGGUUGGACUUAAUUGGGUUAGUCAUGGAUAUGGACCUAUAGUAGAGUCUAGAGAUGUACAUUAUGCUAUCAUUUUAUAUAUUCAAAAUUCAACUGACUUAGGCCAUGUGUUUUGAAGAUGGGUUGGGUAAUGGGGGAGGUCUCCAGUUUUUGUAUGACGGGAUACCCAUUACUACAAGGCUCUAGUUUGAUUCAUAUCAAGUUGGUAUAAGAUCUUUAGGUGCAUGGUAAAUUAGGAGUCCACAAAGCCAUAUCUAGAAGAAUCUCAUUUAAGGGUGUGUAGUGCAUCACACUUUUUAGGGAGAGGCUACAAGGAAUUUAGGAAAUAUUUAUUUUCUUUUUGUUUUAUUUUUUAGCUUGGAAUCCAAGCCCUGGAAUCUUCUAUAAUCCCUAUUUGUUCUCUUUUCAGUUCAUGCUUCAAUGAUCUAAUACACAUAGAAACUCUUUUGUCCUAACUGGUAUAAUGUUAAUGCGACACGCUGUGCUUAUGGGAUCCAUACAUAGUCUAGGGGACUGGUCCAUAAUUUCUUUCGAGUUUUAUUGGUUUCUUUUAGUCCUCCCCAGGCUGAUAUGGCCAAUGCUUAGUUUCAUCAAUCGAUUCAUAUGAUUGCUUAAUUAGUAGCUUCCAUGCCUAAUGUGGUGCAUUUGUUACUCUAUAUUCUGAGGCCACAAGGGUCAGCUAGUUUAUGAGGUUGAGCUCUCCAACUUUUAUUGGUAUUAAGAUAGAGAAGCAUCCUCUGGGUUUUUUGGAUGAGAUGGAAAAGAUUUUAAGGAUUAUGCAUACCAAAAAUGUGGAAGGGGUGGAGUUUGUUAUCUACUAACUGAAAGAUAUGGCAUACCAAUGGAAUGAGAAAUGGGAAGUGCAAGGGGUGAUGUUUAGCCGUAAUCUUUAUCGGAGACUUUAUCAAAUGCAUUUUUGCACUACUUCUUUACUCAAGAGUUAAGGGAAGCAAAGGCGGAGGAAUUUGAUAAUCUAAAAUAGGGGAAGAUAUCAUUCAAGGAGUAUGCCUUUAAACUUUUACCAGUUGUCUAGGUAUGAAUAUGAAUUGGUGUCUGAUUUGAGAGCUAAAAUGAGAAAGUUUUCUUCAAGAAUAUCUUGUGAGUUGAUCCUUAAACUCAAGACAGUAUUGCUUAUUAAGGACAUGGGUAUUUCUAGGUUGGUUGUUCAUAUGCAACAAGUGGAGGAGGAAAAAAGAAAUAGGGUUAAGUUAGGGGAAAGGUAGGGUAAGAAGUUUAGGUUCUCUGAGUAGGGUGGAUAAUUAAAAAAUAACAGAAAUGGGGGUAAGUGUCCAAAGAAGAAGUUGGGGAGUUUUGUUUUUUUCUACAAAGCUAGUGCUUCCUACCCAAUACCGACGGGUGAUAGGAGGUAGUAUUGUAUCGAUAACAUUAGGGCACAGGGUGCCCAAUCUAAUGCUAGUGGGGGUUAGUCGGCUAAAUCAUUUCCUCAUUAUUGGUAUUGUAGUCAACUACAUCAGGGUUUUUAGGAUAAGAGGAAGGCCAGGUGUUCUAAAUUUGGCCUGCCAGGCCAUAUUCUUAGAAACUAUUUGUUCGCAAGGUUUCUUUAGGGGCGAACAAGGUUAUGGUUACCUCUUUAUCUAAUCCUUCACCCAGGGGUGCUACAUCUAUAUCUGUUUUUGCUUCUGUUACCAGCAGAGGCCCAAAUUGAUUAUACGCACUCACUACCUGAUGAGAGUCUGAGGCAUCACCUGAUGCUUGGACCAGUACAUUGAAACUCUUUUCUCAGGAUUUAUAUUAUUUAUUUGUUCAGAGUUUUUAUCUUUAUUAUGUGAACCCAUUAGUGGCUGUGUAUUUUGGUUACUGUCCUGAGGUUAUUUCAAAACUUUUUUAUGUUUCUACCAUGGUAGGUGACUCUAUGGUUAUUAAAAGAGUCUAUUGGGCGUAUAUGGUAUUAGUUGGUAGUAAGGAGGGUUUAGUGGAUUUGUAUGAAUUAGAUAUGGUGGAUAUUAAUAUUAUUAUGGGUAUGGAUUGGUUACACUUUUCCAAUAUAUCCCCAGACUGUCAGACAUAUAAGGUUGUCUUUAGGUCUUUUGGUGAGCUAGUUAUUAAAUAGGAGGGGGGUUCCAUAGCCCCUAAGGUGAAGUUUAUAUCAUAUCUUAGAGCUUUUAGAUUAAUCUAUAAAGGUUGUCUCUAUUCUUUAGUUUGUGUUAAUGAUUCUUACUCAUAAGGUCCUUCUUUACAUUCAGUUCUUGUGGUAAAUGAGUUUCCUGGGGUCUUUUCUGAGGACCUUCCUAGUGUUUCUCUAGAUUGGGAGAUCAAAUUUGGGAUUCAUUUGGUUUUGGACACUCAUCAAAUAUCUAUUCCUCCUAAUAGAAUAGAUUCAACUGAGUUGUGGGAACUAAAGGAGCAACUUAAGGAUCUCUUGGAUGAGGGUUUUAUCUAUCCUAAUGUGUCUCCAUGGGGUGCACAGAUGUUAAUCAUACUUAAGAAGGAUGGUUCCCUCCAAAUAUGUAUAGGCUAUCAUCAUUUGAAUAAGGUGACGAUUAAGAACAAAUAUCCUCUUCAAAAUAUAGAUAACUUGUUUGAUUGCUUGCAAGGUGCCAAAUUCUUUUCAAAGAUAGACAUUUUGUCAAGUAUCAAAAGCUUAAGAUUGGGUAGAGGGAUAUCCCUAAGACAUUUUUCCGUACUCGCUAUGGGAACUUUUAGUUCUUGGUUAUGUCAUUGGAUUUGUCCAAUGCCCCGAUGACAUUUAUAGAUUUGAUAAGAAGGGUCUUUCGUCAGUUUUUGAAUCUUUUUGUCAUUAUUUUUAUUGAUUACAUUCUACUGUACUAUAUGAAUGGGGUGGAUAAUGCCAAUCACCUUUCUUUUGUAUUGUAGACCAUGAAACAGGAGUAGUUGUAUGCAAAAUUCUUGAAAUGUGAGUUCUAGUUAAACGUUUUCACUUCUCUAGGUCAUAUUAUUUAAAGAACAAGGAUCAUUGUAGAUCCAUAAAAGGUCAUGGUUGUUAAGAAGUUUCCUAUGCCCACAACUCCAAUAAAUAUUUGGAGCUUCAUGGGUAUGGCAGGGUGUUGUAGGAGGUUUAUGCAAUGUUUCUCGAGGAUAGCUUCCCCAUUGACUAAGUUGAACAGAAGAAGGUAAAGUUCUCUUGUUCGAAUUUUGUGAGGGUAAUUUCAAGAAGCUGAAGGAUAAGCUAACUUCAACUCUAAUUUUUACCUUUCCUAAAGGUACUGAGAGGUUUAUGGUUUAUUGUGAUACAUCUCGGUAGGGGUUUAUUUGUUUUUUAUGCAGCAUGGGAAGGUGAUAGCCUAUGCUUCUAGGUAGUUGAAAUUACACGAGAAGAAAUAUCCUACUCAUGACUUGGAGAAGUUAGUCAUGGUGUUUGUAUUGAAAAUCUGGCAAAAUUAUCUAUAUGGAGUGCGCAUGGUAUCUUUUUGGAUCAUAAAAGCCUACAGUACGUGUUUACAUACAAAAAAUUGAAUAUCAGGCGAAAGAGUUUGAUUGAGCUUCUCAAGGACUAUUACAUAAGGCUUCACUACCAUCAAUGUAAGGUUAAUAUUGUUUUAGGUUCUCUUAGUAAAUUAUCCAUGGGGAGGUUAGCUCAUGAGGAUAAAAAGAGGCUGAAGUUGGUGAAAGAUAUUCACCACAUGGCUAAUCAUUGAGUUUUCCAUUUGUACUUUGAGAAUGGUGGUGUGUUAGAUAGGAAUUGGUUCAUUUGUAUCUUGGUAUAGAUAUCAAGAAGAAGCAAGUGCUAGUCUUGUCUUGAUGAAAAUUAAGGGUGAUAAAGGUCUGCAAAAGGUAAUGGUAUUUGAGAUCAGUAGUGAUGGUACCUUGCGGUACCAAGGGAGGUUGUAUUUCCUAACGUCGAUAGUUUGUUAGAAAGGAUAUUAUCCGAGGUGCGUGAGUCGUGCUAUGUUGUUCAUCCUAAUUUUGUGAAAAUGCAUCAUGACCUGAAGUAGAUGCAUUGGUGGAAUGAUCUGAAAAUGGAUGUGGCUAAUUUUGUGGUCAAUUGUUUAGUGUGCUAAGUAUUUUGUUGCCCGACGGAUUAUGAUCAACAGGGAUAUUGUUAUCGGUACUCCUCGAUAUAAAAAUGUAGAUAAGAUGACAAAGUUAGGAAAUUAUUUUCGAGUGAGGACUAACUUUUCGAGAGAGAAUUGUGUGAGGUUGUAUCUUCAUGAGAUUAAGAAACUACAUGAGGUACCUAUUUCAAUCUUUUCUAAUCAUGGUAUGCAUUGUUUAUUUUGUUUUUUGUAGUUAUUUUAGGAAGGAUUGGGGACUAAGGUUAGCCUAAGUACUGUUUUUCACCCACAGAUAGAUAGGCAAGUAGAGAGAACUAUUCAGACAUUAGAAGAUAUGUCUCUUGCAUGUGUAAUUAACUAUGGUGGUUGUUAGGUUAGGCAUCUACCUAUUGUAGAGUUUUCUUACAAUAAUAGUUAUCAUUAUAGCAUUCGGAUAGCCUCUUUUGAUACGUUUUAUGGUAGGAGGUUUCUUUUUUCUAUUGUGUUGUUUCAGCUUGGUGAGGAAAAUAUGUUUGGCUGAGAUUUUAUUUUUUAGUCUAUGGAGAAGGUGAAGGUGAUUCGAGAUAUGCUUAAAACUUCCUAAAGUAUCCAAAUGUCCUAUACAGAUGUAAGAAGUAGGGACUUGGAUUUUGAGUUUGGGGAUAGGGUAUUCCAAAGGUGUCUCUCAUGAAGGGAGUAAAGCAGUUCGGGAAGAAAAGGAAGCUCAGUCCCCUAUAUGAUUGUCUUUAUAUAGUUUUGAGAAAGGUUGGUAAUAUGGAGUAUGAAAUUGAGUUUCCUUAUAGCUUGAGCUCCAUUACCCUAGUGUUCCAUGUCUCUAUAUUGAGAAAGUGUAUGGGAAAUCCUUCAUCGGUUGUUCCAUUGUAAGGAUUUUGUAUCUCGGAUUCUCUAUCCUAUGAAGAGAUCCCAGUGGAGAUCUUUGGACCAAUAUGUUCGUUGGUUGCGAACCAAGGAUAAAGCUUUGCUCCAGAUUCUUUGGCAAAUUUACAUAGUGGAUGAAGCUACUUGGGAAACGAAAGAGGAUUUGAAGUCAAAGUAUCCAUACUUUUUUUCAUCUCUAGAUAUUCUUGAUUAAGGUAUGUGUUCUUGAUAACAUCUUUGUUUUCUAACUUUGUUAAAGAAACGGUUGAUUUCCUUGUAUCUUUGUUUUCUAACUUAGUUAAAGGUCAAAAUAAUAGUGCUUAGGUAUAACUCAUGCUUGUACUAUCUUUUGCUUUAUUUGGUGAUGAAUGAUCCUAGUAUGGGAGACUAAAACAACCUGUGUUUUGACAUUAAGGAAAUUCAUCAAUUUUUGUCUUUUGUACAUUAUACGAUAUGGGGUACUUCUUGCGUAAUGAGGUUUGGGUAGGUUAGUCUUGGUCGUAUGGUAACUAGUGUGGGUUGGAUGGUAUCUGUCAAAGGUACAGUUCGAACAUACAAGUUGCGUAUUAGGGUACAAAUGGUAAGGUGUCAAUCGUAUUUUCCCUAAGUCUAGUCUAGAAGAUUCUAUUAAGCCUAGUGUACAAUUUCAUGGUAUUAAUCAUAUGGUUUGGUACUGUUUACCUUGGGUAGUCGUACAUUUGAUAGUGUUGGGUUCCAAGGUGAGGCCUAGGUUACGAGAUAAGGGUACCACCCAUACACUAUGGUACGGUUGGGGCAGUUCAUUCAUACCAUCCUACGUGAAUUUUAAAUAGUUUAAGUUAGGGGUAGUUUGGACAUUCCCCCCAUAACUUAUUAUGAUCCCAGGAUAUAAAAUACCUUUUUGGUUCUUCAUUAACCUAUUUGCAAUCAAUCAAACUCUCUUAAACACUCUUAAAUUCUCUCAAGGCUCUUGGGUCAAAGAUGGCUAGGGUUUUAUCAAUAGGAUUAAGUUGGGGUGACAAGGCUAAUUUUUCUCUAUAAUUUUUGAAAUCUAAGGCAUGUAAUACUCCCUCAUAGUUAAUUCAUACUAUAGGCAUGUUUUGUGAAUUGUUUUGAUGGCAUAAAUGUUGUAUGAUUUUGGUUUUCAAAUAUAUCAGGGGUUUUGUUAUAAUGGUUGGUUAUUGUUUUUCCAUGUCUUUUACUUUUGAUUUCCAUGUUAUUUUAGUGAUUUGUGCAUUUGGUUUCACGAGAAUGGUUAAUCGGUACUUUGUUUUGGCUAUGGAAUUACUAUGUAACCCACUUGUUUGAUAAAAUACCUAUAAGAAUGUUUUUGGUUAAAUUGUUAGACAUUCAUUAAACUAUGCAUUGUAUAACUUAUAGGGUUUUAAUAGUCUGGUCUUUAAGGGCUCCAAGUUGGUUUCUUCUCAAAAUUUCUUAGGGAUUAAGGCUUGUAUCUCUCUCCCAAAACAUGUUUUUUAAAUUAUGGCAUAAAUUUCUUUUAUAUUCCUGUGAUUUUGGAUGUGGUUUUUGAAUGAUGGGUUGAGGGUUAGGAAAAAUCAUUGUAAAUGUUUUCCCAUGUAUUUUAAAGAAUAAUAAUGCUUUGAAUUGAUGAUUUUUAAACCCAUUAUGGUCAUGGGUAUGGUAAUGGAAUGGGUAUUGUCGAUACCCCCAAAUAAUUGGUUUUUGUUAGUAAAAAUGAUGAGAACAUCAACGCACUUGCAUGAUUGGUUUUGGAAUAAAAAUUAUCAUUUGGCUUUCCCUAGUAGUUUUAACUAAUCUGUUGCAUAUGUGUUUAAGAUGGAUUUUGAAUGUUCUUGGCAAUCAUGAAAUGGUUUUGAAUUAAAACUUUGGAGUCUUAUUGUCUAAUGGGUUGGUGUCCCAUUUGGCUGUAUGAUUUUGUUCCUAAUUGGGAUUUAGGAUUUCUAUUAAUUGAAGAGGGUUAGAAUACUACUUGGAUAAAUGAUUUGAUCCCUACUAGGGAAUUUGGAGUCCUAUUAUUUAAUGACUUAGAUUCCCCUUGGUAAAUUUUUGGAUUUUUCAAAUUGACAUGUGCUUGCAAGUUAUAGUCGAUAUGAUGAUACCACUUGAUGUUGCUGUAACAAAUGACUCCUUGAUUAAAUGCAUGGAUUAUAAGCUAAAUGCUUAUAAUUGGUCUUAAAGGGGGUUGUGUAGUUCGUCGUGAAAGUGGAGGUACCAAGAGGAUUAAUACUGGAAAACAUAUAUUUAUUAUGGUGGUGGUCUAAAUUAAUCGGUGUUCGAGCCACCCUUGGUUUUCAUCGGGUGUUCAUGACACCCUUAAUGUAUUAAUGGGGAGGUUUGAGUCACUUGUUCAUAUAUUGUAUGAUUAUUCUCCAGUUCGUAUGACUACACGUACUGGGGCUCAACUAGGGGGUUAGAGUUAGGGCCCAUAUAGACCGUGGGUACAAUUCUAAUAGAUUGCUACACAACCCAGGGUAAUGUUUUAAAGUUCAUUCUAAGAUAUGUUCCCUAUCCCAACAUGUUAUAUAUAUAUGUGCAUACGACUGUGUCCAGCGGUAUUGAAUUAUUUGAACGAUCGAUCAUGGCAGUAUGUAUCCCCUUAUCUUUGAGUUACAUUCAAGUUCUCAACCCGCUAACUAUCUUUGAACGUUUUAUCCCCACACAAUGCAUGGAACGGAGAUACUUCAAAUUUUCUGUACAACUACAGGUGGUUCUUGGAUUGUUAUGAGUUAUCUUGAAGUGAUGAACCUUAUUCUUCUUGAUGGCAUGUUACAUCAUGGUAAAGUUUUUGUCAUAGUCUAUUUCUUUGGUUACCCUUUUGGCUAUCAUCGAGGGCAUGUCCCGACUUAGAAUGAUUUUGGUUUGUUUAGAGGAUUUGUGGAUUAGUAUGGAUUGGGAGUUGGUAUUAUGGAUUUUUAGCACAUUCCGAUUGUUGCUUAUUCUAUCUUGUUUUAUGUUUGGAAUUCUUCUGCUGCUAGUUAUAUUAUAUUUUGUUUGACUAGGGAAAGAGGGUGGGCUCCAUUCCACGGCAUACUUGAUAUACCCGUCAUGGCCAGGCCCUUGUUCGGUCAUGACAUGACUGAGCUCCUAAGAUAAUGCUAAUAUAAGUAGCAUGCAAGAAAGAAUGUAACUACACCCAAAUAUCUAGCAACUACACAAUAAAGAUAAGGAGACUAUAAGGGAAAACUAUCUUAUUCUAUCUAUACUUAGUAACUUAAACACCAUACCAAUAUCACUGAACAAUAUAUGAAUAAAGAGUGGAAGAAUGAUAGAUAAUAGUAUAAAAGGCCAAGGAAUGGAUAUGCAAUAUGAAUAAGUGAAAUAAGGGAGGGAUAUAUAGUAAUACCGUAAGUAUUAUAGACAGAUACAUAUACAUAAACAAGUCUAACUGAAGGUACAACUUAAGUUAUCGCACUAGCAUCCCAAGGUCUUCUAAUCUUAGUAGAAACUAGUGAUAACAUGAUCAGGGUAUCGAAUCCAUAUGUCUAAACAUGAGAUAAUUAUCCAUCCUAAAGAAAACAUAAAAAAAGGGAUUGAAAUCAUACCUUAUAUAUCAAAAUUAACCGAACAACCAACCUGUCCUGAACUAACUAUAAUAAUAACACAUUACAGAAACCAGUCAGCUAAGACAAAUAAUACCUACUUCGGUCUUUAAAGUUCAAUUUUCCUUUUAGCCUCAAACUUAUAAAUUAGGCUAAGUCAUGAUGGUCUACUCAAUAUCACAUCCUAACAUCCCUAUCUAAUACGAAACUUAUAUAAUAUACCAUCACAUGAAGAAGAGUAGAUAGAAGCUUACAUCGAUGUCGAACCUCAAUCCUUGAAUUACCUAUAAAUUGUCCUUCUUUUCUCCAUGACCUCAAAAUAUCAUCACACUCUCAAUACAGUUAUCUACGCAUCAUUAGGAGAAAAUAAUACCUGUAUAUCUAUGUCCAACACAAAUCUAAAAACAAACACUAAAAAUGGAUUUAAAAAUAAAAAGGUUAAAAUCUUUUUUAUUUUAAAGAAAUAUGUUUCCCAUACUCAUAGGAGUCUAUAACUUAAAACCUAAGCCAAAAUGAAAUAAAAAUAAGAUCCAAAUUAAGGAAAAACCAUUUUCUAUCUUAUUGAUGAAAACCUCCAAAACCCACUUUGAAAAUCAAAUCAAGGUAAAAAUGAUAGUUAUAAGAUUAAGAAACUUCCUCAUGGAUGAAAUCUCAAAUAUGCUUUUGUAAUCCCACAAAUACGAGCUCCCAAGACCCAAAAUUAGUGAAAAAUCAAUUUUGAUUCUCAAUUUGGGUGAAAAUGAAAAAUUAUAAAUUGAUGUUCUUGGGAAAUGGGGAAAAUAGAAUUCUAUAAUUGCUAGACAAUGAUUUUACGUGAAAAAUAAAUCAUAAAUCGUAAAAAAUUGAGCUUCCUAGCUCCCAAAAUGUCAAAAAUAUGCUGGUCACUUAAGCGAUCUGGUCAAAUGGUCAAAUGUCACUUAAUUGGCCAAAUGGUUGGUCAAGUGACUUAUUCAAAUGGGCAAAUGGUUGUUUUCGCAAACAAACCGGCACCAACAAAGUUAAGAACUUGUUUUUGGCCAUCGGACCUCAUCCAAAAACCUAUGAACAUGAAACAGUAGCAAAAUUUGAAUUUAAAACACAUUAUAGAUACAACGGAAGAAUCAAAACAUUAAUCGAAAAUAGUUUUUACUAAAUUUGUGACCCAUAUCUAUAGUGCCAUUUUUCAUAUAAUUCACUCAAUUCCCUAAAACGAGUCUGAAAGCCUCAGGACCUGAACCGAGGGUCCCCAGCCUAAAAUUUAUUUUUUGAAGCUAAUGUCAUUGUUUGUAUUCUCUUCCAAGGUCAUAUACUACGUGUUUUGGUCCGACAUCAAAUCUGAAAUACUGAAAGCUACAAAAUAGAGAAAUGAGACUAAAAUAAAAACAAACUGUACUAUAACUAAAUCGAUAGUUCCGGCAAGUAAUAAUGAAAUGUAGCCACCGUGGGAUGUCUAGAAACGCUGAAAAUACACACAAAUUGAGGAAAUUACCAAGAGAGUCAUUAAAAUAAUCCUUACAAAGGAUUCUUUCACCCUUUAACAAUGAUAGGUAGUCUAUCUGCAUUUUAGCCAACUUGCUACGGAAGAUAACCAAUUUGUUUUCCUUCUUUGAAAUCACAAAUUAGCUAUCACCAUCUCAAAGGCUUUAGAAUGGUCCAGGAGAAAGGUUUCAUCACUAUUUCUAUCAACUAAAAUAAUAACUCCAUGAACCCCAUCAAAUACUCUAAAAUUUUCUCCAAUUUGGCAAUUUGAAUCCUUACUAAAGAAAAUCUUCUCGGUGUUUGGUAUUUCUCGCACCACCUCAUUCAAACUUUCCCAACAUAUCUUCUGGACCUCCUUGUCCAAGAAUAGUUGUGAAGCAUAUAAACUAAUAAUAUUAAAAGUAUCUCCUCAAUUAACUUUCUUAAUCUUCAUCAUCCAGUGAUUAAUCCUUUGAACCUCCAACCAAAGCUCCCUAAGGACUUUCUACCCCGUUCCUAUUCUUUGAACUUCCUGAGCACCAUAAAUUAAACCCAUAUACAUCUCAAGGCUUGGAACUUAACAAUUCGGUCUUGUGGACACACAAUAAAUUUAUCUUCUACUUUUUAAAAAUAUUUACUUCAAGACCCUAUAUUCUAUGACCCGACUCACAACUUAAUGAAAUCUUUAAUCUUCCUCUCACUCCCACCCAUCGCUCUCGACCUUGACCUAAAAAUGACCUUAGACUAUCAUUUUGAACCAAAAAAUUCAGUUCAAAGCUACAAAAAUACUAAUGCAAGUCAAACUAGGCUAUGACUAAAAACAAGAAAUAACCCUAACAUUAAAGUACAAAACCCGAAAAGCAAAAAGCUAGAAACAAGAAUUUAAUCACUAGUAGCAAAGAAUAUUCAAGAACCAAGUAUGACUAAAGAAAGUAAUAGUAACACGAACAACAAACAAAGCCAAAAAGAAUAUAGAUGUAAAAUAUCAGCACAGGUAAAUCAAUAACGAGAAGUACAACGCCACCAUGGUAGAUUUCAUGAUUUUAAGAUGGAAAAAAGAUAGAUUAAAGCAUGAAAUAUGAAUGAAAAGUGAUAUACAAUAAAAAAUAUGGACAUGAAAGGCAUUGGAAAAUAUAAACGAAACUCAAGAAAGAAAGGAUUAACAAAACAUGGUUAGAAAACUGUAGUAGAUGUCGAAAUUGGCCAUUGGGGUUAUCCCUGAAGGCUGCUAGAAUGUCUGGAUCUAGAAGUACUGUACGUAGUAAAUCUUAAAGCAAAAGACCUACUUCUUGGUCACUGUAGAAGAAAGGCAUCGGCAUCACAUAAAUUUGCAGCUCGAAGAUGGUAAAGGCGCUAUAUCGUGGGCAAGAAUUGGAUGGGCGGAGGCAAAAAUGGAAACGAAAAAAUAUAGGCGACGUAGAUCUGGGUUGUAAUUACCUGUUGCUGAAAAUAUCUCACCAACGCCGAAGAGCAUAACCCGACGACUUUUGUGAUGAAUAAACUUAGAGAGAAAUUUC